GAGGCGAUCAUUUCUCCCUAAUGGUUUUAUAUCUCCAUCAGAGAUUCCACAUGAACUUGCCCAAAACAAGUUGUUCAUGCAAGGUGUUGAUAAGAAGAAUCACCCUAUAGUUGUUCUUUUUGGUGCCAAACAUAAGCACUACAAAGGAAAUCUGGAGGAGUUCAAGCGUUGUAUAGUCUUCACCCUUGAGAGAAUAUGUGAAAGAAUG
Molecule: unclassified non-coding RNA, 208 nt
Filed under: Hevea brasiliensis (rubber tree)
Lineage: Eukaryota; Viridiplantae; Streptophyta; Magnoliopsida; Malpighiales; Euphorbiaceae
Source: RNAcentral